RNAcentral lists this transfer RNA (72 nucleotides) under Ovis aries (sheep). It matches the Rfam family "tRNA". From Rfam's summary of the family: Transfer RNA (tRNA) molecules are approximately 80 nucleotides in length. Their secondary structure includes four short double-helical elements and three loops (D, anti-codon, and T loops). The record is from Rfam by way of RNAcentral. Lineage: Eukaryota; Metazoa; Chordata; Mammalia; Artiodactyla; Bovidae.
UCCUUAGCAGUCUAGUGGUUAAGACUCUGUGCUUCCAAUGCAGGGAUGCAGGUUCGACCCCUGGGUGAGGAA